GAAAAACUCAAUGCUGCUUUCUCGCUUUCCAGUCCCCAUUCUCUACACGACGUUCAAUUACAGGUUAGAGAUAUAACUAGCAAUCCUGAUUGGGAGAAGGCUUAUCAAUAUGAAAUACCUGUGUUGGCUAGAGUGCGUCCUGAUGGCACUGAGGAGGUACUUCCUAGAUUAUCUCCUCGUCUAGGUGUUGAGGCCAUCCACAAGAAGAUUGCAGCUGCAUUGACUGAAUGAGCUUUCUCGCAAAAACAAUUUUGAAGCCAGUCUUUGCAUGUAAGACGGAUAGAUAAUAUGGAGAACUGUCUUCUUCUUCCUCUCCCUUUUACUGUGUAUCUUGCAACCGUACUAUGGUGGGACAUAUAAAGUUUAACUGUGUAAUACACCAUAGGAUACCGAGUAUCAACUAGAUAUUUUUUACAUUUUACCGCUAAUGAAGCUUGUCGUUUUAGCUCCAUUGGCACAAGGUGAUAGACAAAGACUCUUGUUCAAAUCCAAUUCGAAGCUUGUGGUUUU
RNAcentral lists this unclassified non-coding RNA (510 nucleotides) under Hevea brasiliensis (rubber tree). The record is from RNAcentral. Lineage: Eukaryota; Viridiplantae; Streptophyta; Magnoliopsida; Malpighiales; Euphorbiaceae.